Molecule: unclassified non-coding RNA, 205 nt
Filed under: soil metagenome
Description: partial contains 5.8S ribosomal RNA, internal transcribed spacer 2, and large subunit ribosomal RNA
Source: RNAcentral
AACACUGUUAACCUGCGGUACCUGCGGAGGGAUCAUUACCGAGUGUGGUCCCAUAAGGGGCGCCUCCCGUCCUUUGCAGGGCCUUUAGGGGCUUUUUGACUUUGCUUCGGCGGGCUUGCCCCGCCGGAACACCCUCAAGAAAAUCUUUAUGAACCGUUUGUCUGAGUUGCUUGCGAAUAAAAACAAAACUUUCAACAACGGAUCU